UGAGGAAUAUUGGUCAAUGGGCGAGAGCCUGAACCAGCCAAGUCGCGUGAAGGAAGAAGGUUCUAUUGAUUGUAAACUUCUUUUGCAGGGGAAUAAAAGAGGGCACGUGUGCUCUAUUGUAUGUACUCUGCGAAUAAGGAUCGGCUAACUCCGUGCCAGCAGCCGCGGUAAUACGGAGGACCCAAGCGUUAUCCGGAUUUAUUGGGUUUAAAGGGUGCGUAGGCGGGGAAUUAAGUCAGUGGUGAAAGUUUGCAGCUUAACUGUAAAAUUGCCAUUGAAACUGAUUUUCUUGAGUGCAAAUGAGGUAGGCGGAAUGUGUUGUGUAGCGGUGAAAUGCAUAGAUAUAACACAGAACCCCGAUUGCGAAGGCAGCUUACUGGGAUGCAACUGACGCUGAUGC
RNAcentral lists this ribosomal RNA (400 nucleotides) under uncultured bacterium. Its description in RNAcentral is "bacterial SSU rRNA". It matches the Rfam family "Bacterial small subunit ribosomal RNA", at positions 355 to 752 of the family's 1533-position model. The record is from RNAcentral.